Long non-coding RNA from Camelus dromedarius (Arabian camel), 586 nucleotides. RefSeq lists it as uncharacterized. Lineage: Eukaryota; Metazoa; Chordata; Mammalia; Artiodactyla; Camelidae. The record is from RefSeq and is a predicted model, not a curated record. The transcript has 3 exons.
ACCUCAGCAGCCCCAGGGCACAGCCUGCAGCCCUGGGUCCGGUGCCUCCCAAGGGUGGCCCGCAGCUGGGAAAGUGGCAGGCAGGGAUGACAGUGCCAGUGUGAGGGCCAGGCACCCCGAUCCUGGCACUCGCGGCACCCAGAUCCGAGCCAGGCGUGGAGAGGCAGCUGCCUGGCUGCGUUCAUGCUGGCCAGCGGCCUGGCUGUGCUGGGCCCAGGGGAAGGGCUCCUCUGUGAUGGGGACUGUGAUACCCACCUCAAAGGUCGCACAGCAGGAGAGUGACGUGGGAGCAUGGACGUGGAGUGGACGUCAUCCCAGUCGCUGGACCCGGGGUGACGCUCUGAAUGGUACAGAGAACAGGAGAGAGACCCUGGGGAUUAAAUAUAUUACAGGUAUGCCCAGGAACUCGAAUCAGCUGGAAUACAGGGAAAACCGAAACGCUUGUGGAGAAACACGAGAAGUCAUGGGCGCUGGAUCCAGACUCAGGUGACAGCCAUUUCCCAAGGGCCACAGUGGAAGGAAGAGCUGGCAGUCAGGCCUUCCAAACGGGGGGGAGCAUUUUCAUCCUGAUGCCCCUGACUCACCG